ACUACUAAGUGUUUAAGUAUCAUAUUUACCUUCAUAUUUUAUUUUACAUCCUUUGUUUAGGUGGUCUGUAGACUAUACCUCAAGGCACAUUUAUAUGCUGACUGUGAUGAGACUGUUUCUCUGACUUUCAUCCUAUCCCAUGGUGUGUUUUGCUACUCACUUGCCAAAAAGUAUUUCUUAAGGGAAGCUGGGAGCAUCUCUAGGAAGAGAGAGAAGGAAGGGGAGGGGAGAGGAGCAGGCAGAAGGAUGGGUAUUUGAUCUCUGAUCUCUAUCCUGGAGGACCUUCUAGGCCAGGGGCAGCAAGGCAACAGCUCAAUUGUCCUACUUUAGUCCCAGGUGACAUGGCCCCUCCCUCAGAUGAGAAUUCUCAUGACAGGUUAAGAAAUGUGAAUGCCCUAAUUAUACAUCUCCUGAUCUCACGCUGGACAAUGUCUAGUUAUGCAGAAUGUUAGUAAUACCGGAUAAAGACUGAAAUCAUCAGGAUUUGGGCUUGGUUGUCCAGGGUUUUCCAUUCUAUGUUGAAGCAGGAAAUAUGGCUUAUGAACUGGAUGACUGCCUGGUAAACCUGCCCUGAUCCAACAGCCCUUAUUUCUGAACCAAAAGUCAGGGCAUGUAUUCUGACAAGGGAGUUUUUAUUAGCCUCUGUGACUAAUGCCAAACAUUGAAAUUUCCAAGACCUUGUCACAAUUUUAUGGAAUUUGUGGAACAGAGUAUUCUAAUCAAAAUUGACACUGACUUGAAAAAUCAAUAUAGUUUCUAAAAAAUAAAAUGGAAAGGUAGGUUUUUGUUUUCUUUAAGGCCACACCCGUGACAUAUGGGAGUUCUGGGCCACGGACUGAAUCUGAGCUGCUGCUGUGGCAACCCCGGAUCCUUAACCCACUAUGACAGGCAGGGAUCAAACCUGCGCCUCCAUAGUGACACAAGCCACUGCAAUAGGAUUCUUAACCCACUGCACCACAAUGGGAACUCCUGUUUUGGUGGUGGUGGUGGUGGUUUGGUUUUGUUUUUAAAUAAAUUCUAGGAGUUCCGUAGUGGCCUAUUGGUAAACAAUUUGGCAUUGUCAUGGCUGCAGCUCAAGUUCAAUCUCUGGCCUGGGAAAUUUUGUAAACCACAAGGUAGACAAAACAAUUAACAACAAAAACAAAAUAAAUCCUGGCUGUUUCUUAUAUAGCUCCAUAUCAGAAAGUAGUGUAUUAUAUUUUAAAUUAUUAAUUUAGUAACAUUUACUGAAUGCCCAUGAUAUGUGAAAAAUUGGUGACAAAAGUUUAAGGGGCCUAAUCUAACUCCCCUAAAGCUUACCAUCCAGAAUGGAAAUACGACAUUUACUAAUAAUUGCAAUACAUAGAAAGCUCUGACCAAGUAGAACCAGCCCCAAGUGAGUGUGAGAAGAAGGAAUGACUUUUGCUUUAAGAUUAGCAAUAGUGUCACAUGGGCAGAGAAAGAGGCCCAGCUUUGAAUAAUUGGUACUAUCCCAACAUCUUCAGUGAGAACAAGCCUUCCUAGAAAGCAAUGAGAGUGUAAAGAAAGUUCUAGAGAGAGUAAAUAGAUGGGUUUAGAUCCCAGGCAUGUGAAGUCGGUUUCACUUUCAAACUUUCCCUUUUGCUUUCUUUUUAUCCACAUCAAUUUGUGAAUCAAUGAAAAGAAAAACCCCUAGUUAGGCUAUGUGUCCCCAGUUUGGACUGACAAAAUUUAUUCACCAAAAUCUUCUAAGAAAAAAAUGGCAAGCAGUGACUCUCAAAUUGUGGUGAGACAUAGAGUUGAGCAUCUUGAACAACCGUGAAAAAAACACAGAGCUCUGUUCUGGAGCCCACAGAGGAUGAGUAAGAUGUCUUGAGUUGGCAUGGUGGUGGAAUUGUCAAAAGAUGAGACAGUCCCUAAGAAAUUCAGGGGAAAAAACUGACACUUUCUAAUCAUUUAUGUGGAAAGGACAAUAAGAUGGGAGAAAGCAGAGAGGAAUUCAGGUUUUUACUGUUGUGGGUUGACUGAAAGGUAAUGUAAUGAUUAGAUGCUGAGCUGUAGAGUGACUACAUAGAGCUUGAAUCUGGUUUUCCUUGCUUCCCAAGAGUAACUUUGGGAAAAUUUCCUUGUUUUCAAAAUAGAAAUCCUAAUAAAACUCAUAUUAUAGAGUUGCCUCCACAAAUCUGUGUGCUACAAAUUUUAAAUUAUUAGGAAAAUAUUUCAGGCAAGUAAGCCUAGGUAUUCUCAGUGAACUGCCCAAGUCACUUCCCCUUGCUGGAGUGAAUAGAUCAGAGUCAGAAACAAAACAGCAUGGAAUAGUGGCUAGGAUUUUGCCUUGAUUUCCCCCUUGUAAAUGAACUGUAGAAUUCCAUGGAUGGUUUAUAGAAGUUCCAGUAUGGAAAGAAAGAGAUCAAAAAGAGAGGACAGGAAUGGUAGGGUGGGACAUCUUGAACCAAGUCAUGGAAUUAUUACCAGGAAAAUUACAUAUUAUGGGGGGAUGGGAAGCCAGCAGCAGGAUGCCUGGGCCAUGUGUGCACUUGUUACAUGGCUUAUUUUGGAAAAGACAUGGAGACUUGAAUGCAGAAUUUGAAAAUGACUGUCCCAGCUAUGAUUCAUUGAAGAAGUCACUCUCAGCAUCAUCGGCCUUGGCAUUUUUUCAGAGGUCAGAUUUACACAUAAUUUAUAAAGUUAUACCAUGCAGUUGAAAGUUUCUGUGGCAUAUUUAGAAAUGUCAAGGAGGGCAGUGCUUUCCGUUUCACCCUGCCUGCCUUUGGUUUCUGCUAAUGUACAGGUCCUCUUCAUUCUCUGGGUCAUAACUGGGAAGAUUUUUCAAAUGGUUUGAAGAGAAGGUCUCAGUAUAUUACAGAAUCCCAACUGGCUGCUACUUUUCCCUGUGAUUUGAUACUGGGAGAGGAAGGUCACUGCUCUAAAGGGUGUGUCUCACUCCUGGGAAGUUCUAGUUGCUAACAUGCUCUUUCUUAAAAUCUGCAUCUAUCUAAAAUUUGCUUGUUUCUCCUAGAACUAGUUAGAAUAAAUCUCUCCCCUCUUUUGUAUUAAGAGAGAUUAUUUGUGGCGUUCCCAUUGUGGCUCAGAGGUAAUGAACCCAGCUAGGAUCCAUGAGGACGAGUGUUCAAUCCCUGGCCUCGCUCACUGUGUUAAAGAUCUGGCAUUGCCGUGGCUGUGGUGUAGGUUGCAGAUGCAGCUCAGAUCCCACGUUGUUAUGGCUGUGGUGGAAGCUGGCAGCUGCAGCUCUGAUUCGACCCCUAGCCAGGGAACUUCCAUGUGCCACAGGUGCAGCCCUAAAAAAGUCAGGUGGGGGAGAGAGAAAGAAAGAUUAAUUUGGAGGCUAUUAUGUUUCCAUAUCUUUUUUUUUUUUUUUUUUUUUGGCUUUUACAAGCUAAACUACCCCAGUCUCCUAGAUAAAUUCUCAUGUGACAUAGUCAAACUGUUUUAUUUCCUCUUUCCAGUAUGUGAAGCCUGUCCUGUCAGUAAUUACCAAUAUAGUAUUAUGUCUUCAGACUAACUUAACUUCCUAGGUAAAGCUUUCACAUAGAUGAACAACUAAUGUUUAAAAUUAGUUUCCUUCUGAAAGUUACCAUGUUGACUGGGUAGAGCUGAUGUUUUCAAUUUAUUGGACAAAUUUCCUAAGGAACACUCCUUUGGCAUAAUUUGGGGGCUUUGCUGCUCUGUUUUCCAAAGAGAUUCCGACCAAGUGAGAUUUGAACAUGCUUCGAAUUUUAUAAAAAGGAGUUUCUAGCUUUGGGGGCAACUUUGUUUUGCAUUAUUAACUCUUCUACAGCAAUAUCAAAGUGAACCCUUUCAUUCAUUUCUUCAUGAAACAUUCACAGACUGCCUGAUGUACAGACACUGGGUGAGACGCAGUGAAAGAUGAAUAAUGUUCAGUCAUCAGAAGCUCUCCUGGUCUGGGCUGGCUUUGUUCUGCCUUUCACACAGCUCAUGACUUGUUCAGAGGGCUUUCACUAGGGCAUUCAAACUGCAGACUUGGGAAUCUGGAGGAGCAGAGAAGACUAGCCUCUCUUUGUCCGUCAAGAGCUGAGGUAUCUGAAAUCCAUCAUGGUAAAAAUCAUUUGACCUUGCCCCACCCUAUUCACCAGGUACUGCUAACAUCUUGGUGGCUUUGCAACCAGAAGUGAUGUAAGAAUUUUUAAAAAUCACAACCCACUGUGACUCAGUGCGUUAAGGACCUGACGUGUCUCCACGAGGAUGCAGGUUUGAUCCUGACCUGGCUCAGUGGGUUAAGGAUCUGGCAUUGCUGUAAGCUACAGUACAGUUUGCAAACGCAGCUCAGAUCUGGUGUUGCCAUGGCUGUGGUGUAGGCUGCAGCUGCAAUUACAAUUCGACCCCUGGCCAUGGAAUUUCCAUACACCAUAGGUGCAGCUCUAAAAAGAAAAAAAAUUACAAAUGCAUUAUUAUUCACAUUUUUGAAUGGGAUAUGUUACUCUCCAUACAUUUUGGAGACUAUUUCUGGUGUUAUGGGAAAUGGGAAAUAUUUUGAGGCCAUUAUUAAAUUUCCUGAUACCUCUGAGAUAAUAGUACAUAUUUACUAUAAUUUAACAACAAAUUUAUCUGUAGGAUACUUUUCUAGCUCCCUCAACUUUGGGAAUAAAGACAAAACCUAGAGGGAAUCAUAAAAAUUUUUUGAGCAGCCAAACAGAUGUUACGGGUUUUAUAAUUGAGUUUUAACAAGAGGAUUUUGCAAAUUCAAGGAAUAGCUAAACAUUUAUAUUGAAUCCUUAAGAUGGCAGGGGAUACGUUAAUCAAUUUUAAAAACAUGGCUAGGAGACAUGCCUUCUAGUAAUACUAAAAGAUGUAAAUCUUGGAGUUUCCUUGUGCCAUAGCUGGUUAAGGAUCAGGAAUUGUCACUGCAGCAGUUUGGGUUGCUGUGGUGGUCUGGGUUCAAACCCUGGCCUGGAAAUUUCCAUAUGCCCCAAGGAC
This 4914-nucleotide long non-coding RNA is filed under the name Sus scrofa (pig). RNAcentral's name for it is "lncRNA (ENSSSCG00000052600.1)". The record is from RNAcentral. Lineage: Eukaryota; Metazoa; Chordata; Mammalia; Artiodactyla; Suidae.